GAUGAACGCUGGCGGCGUGCCUAAUACAUGCAAGUCGAGCGAACAGACGAGGAGCUUGCUCCUCUGACGUUAGCGGCGGACGGGUGAGUAACACGUGGAUAACCUACCUAUAAGACUGGGAUAACUUCGGGAAACCGGAGCUAAUACCGGAUAAUAUUUUGAACCGCAUGGUUCAAAAGUGAAAGACGGUUUUGCUGUCACUUAUAGAUGGAUCCGCGCCGCAUUAGCUAGUUGGUAAGGUAACGGCUUACCAAGGCAACGAUGCAUAGCCGACCUGAGAGGGUGAUCGGCCACACUGGAACUGAGACACGGUCCAGACUCCUACGGGAGGCAGCAGUAGGGAAUCUUCCGCAAUGGGCGAAAGCCUGACGGAGCAACGCCGCGUGAGUGAUGAAGGUCUUCGGAUCGUAAAACUCUGUUAUUAGGGAAGAACAUAUGUGUAAGUAACUGUGCACAUCUUGACGGUACCUAAUCAGAAAGCCACGGCUAACUACGUG
This 497-nucleotide ribosomal RNA is filed under the name uncultured bacterium. Its description in RNAcentral is "partial 16S ribosomal RNA". It matches the Rfam family "Bacterial small subunit ribosomal RNA", at positions 28 to 507 of the family's 1533-position model. The record is from RNAcentral.